UUACAACGGAGAGUUUGAUCCUGGCUCAGGAUGAACGCUAGCGGCAGGCUUAACACAUGCAAGUCGAACGGUAACAGGUGUAGCAAUACAUGCUGACGAGUGGCGCACGGGUGCGUAACACGUAUGCAACUUACCCCUAACUGGAGAAUAGCCUUUAGAAAUGAAGAUUAAUACUCCAUAAUAUUACAGAGUGGCAUCACUUUGUUCUUAAAACUCCGGUGGUUAGGGAUAGGCAUGCGGCCUAUUAGUUAGUUGGUGAGGUAAUGGCUCACCAAGACUUCGAUAGGUAGGGGGCCUGAGAGGGU
This 305-nucleotide ribosomal RNA is filed under the name Flavobacteriales bacterium CG_4_9_14_3_um_filter_32_8. RNAcentral describes it as "partial 16S ribosomal RNA". It matches the Rfam family "Bacterial small subunit ribosomal RNA", at positions 1 to 301 of the family's 1533-position model. Lineage: Bacteria; Pseudomonadati; Bacteroidota; Flavobacteriia; Flavobacteriales. The record is from RNAcentral.